RNAcentral lists this ribosomal RNA (253 nucleotides) under uncultured bacterium. Its description in RNAcentral is "partial 16S ribosomal RNA". It matches the Rfam family "Bacterial small subunit ribosomal RNA", at positions 524 to 776 of the family's 1533-position model. The record is from RNAcentral.
UACAGAGGUCGCAAGCGUUGUUCGGAUUCAUUGGGCGUAAAGGGCGCGUAGGCGGCGGGGCAAGUCAGGUGUGAAAUCCCGGGGCUCAACCCCGGAACUGCACUUGAUACUGCUUCGCUAGAGUACUGGAGAGGAGACUGGAAUUUACGGUGUAGCAGUGAAAUGCGUAGAGAUCGUAAGGAAGACCAGUGGCGAAGGCGAGUCUCUGGACAGUUACUGACGCUGAGGCACGAAGGCCAGGGGAGCAAACGGG